This 321-nucleotide ribosomal RNA is filed under the name Discocyrtus prospicuus. Its description in RNAcentral is "partial 12S ribosomal RNA". The record is from RNAcentral. Lineage: Eukaryota; Metazoa; Arthropoda; Arachnida; Opiliones; Gonyleptidae.
CCCUAUUAUGAAUUUUUAGCAAGAAUUAAUAUAUAAUGAAAAUUAAUAAAUUUUGGCAGUUAGUUAUAUUAUUAGAGGAGCUUGUUUAUUAUAGAAUUUACUCUUUAUAUUUUAGUAUUUUAGAAGUUUAUUCAUCUCUGUUAUUAAAUGAGAGUUGAUUUUAAUUUUUUAUUAUCUCAGGUCAAGAUGUAGCAAUGAAAUAAUUGAAAAUUAGCUACAAUUAUAAAAUAUAUAUUAUUAAAUUUGAAAUAUAAUUAUUAUUUAUUUGAAUUUAGUUGUAAUAAUUACUAGAAUGUUAUUAUGAUUUUGUAUAAUUAGUGU